UACGGGGGGGGCAAGCGUUGUUCGGAAUUACUGGGCGUAAAGGGUUUGUAGGUGGCCCGCUAAGUCACACGUGAAAUCCCUCAGCUUAACUGGGGAACUGCGUGUGAGACUGGCAGGCUCGAGGGCAGGAGAGGAACGCGGAAUUCCAGGUGCAGCGGUGAAAUGCGUAGAUAUCUGGAGGAACACCGGUGGCGAAGGCGGCGUUCUGGACUGUCUCUGACACUGAAGAACGAAAGCCAGGGGAGCAAACGGG
RNAcentral lists this ribosomal RNA (253 nucleotides) under uncultured bacterium. Its description in RNAcentral is "partial 16S ribosomal RNA". It matches the Rfam family "Bacterial small subunit ribosomal RNA", at positions 524 to 776 of the family's 1533-position model. The record is from RNAcentral.